CCUAGAAAAAAAUAUGUUUGUUUCCGCUUUCAGGCUGUAAAAAUAUAGGGUAGGUAGGUAGGCAAAUUUUUUUUUUUUGAAAUUUUUUUUUUUUGCUUCUUUAAUCAAAACAUGUAUAGAAGAAAUAUCAAUGACAAAAGAAAUGGUGUUUUCAAGCAUUUCUGUGACUUAAACUUCUAAUAGAAAGGUUAAAAGCUUGCAAAGUUGGAGACUCUAAUUGCCUGGGUGAAAUCUUGCACUUCCUGGGACAAAAGCAUUAAAAAAAUUUUAGGGUCAGCAUUAUAAAUUAGGGUCAAUCGGGAAAGCAGAAACAAACAUAUUUUUUUUCUAGGCCUUAUAUUGAGAUAUUAUCACAAACCACAUUACAAUGUACCCAUUCCACUAGCAUCUUACAUAUCACAGGUAAAUAAGUAAAUAUAUUUUCUUUCUAAUGAAAUUUGAACUUAAUUUCACCACUUCACAAUAACAUGCAUUCAUUCUUUUAUCUUGUGGAAUUAUUUAACCUGUUAAAUUUAAAAGGAAGUCAAUAUAUUGAAUUCCAAACAUGCACAGAUCCAGAAUGUUACAUGUAACACCUUUGAAGAUAAUAUCAUUAUGCAAGUUUUGUUUGUUUUUUGUUUUUUCAACUAUUUCUCUGAACUUUUAGGAUUCAUAAUAUUACAACACUGAUAAACAUCUUUGACAAGAUGCAGAGAAGUUCAAAAACAAAUGCAUCAUAUCACUUUGAGAUCUAAAAGACACUUUUGUAUAUAAAAUCACCAUAAAUGGUAAAGUUUUGAUGUAUCGGCUUGUUCAGAGAGAAGGACCAAAUGUAUUUAUUGACCUCACAGAGGACACAGACCCAGGAAUGAAAAUAGAGACAUUAUUAUUAGAAGUCAUGGAUGGUGAUGAAGACGAAGAGGAGGUUGAGGUCAAUAAGGAUUCUCCUGAAGACUUGGGAGAACCUAGUGCAGAUGGUGAUGAGGAUGACAAAUCCUAAAAUUAUUUGAUGAACUUAAAAAUGAAAAAGUUCUAUAAAAUUGGUUUUCCAAACAUUUAUCACAAUUAUACAUUGUUAUCACAAUUAUACAUUGUUAAACUGAAUUAAAAUCUAUGGAAAAAAUUAUGACUUUUUUUUUUUCCUUUUCUUUGAAAUGGUCAGAUAACUCUGUUUGUUUACAUGUCAAAAAGCGCGCGAAAAAAAAUGGCGUACCUCAUUACAUAACUUGGCUUUUAUAAACACUUUCACAUGUUCUGGUACGUUGAUGUUUCCGCAAGAUGCAUCACCACUCUGAAUUUCCACUAUCCGUAAUCCAGGAGAAUUGAAAAUGUUAACGAACCCAGAACUAAACAGUCUUCUGAAAAUCAAAGUGUCAAAGUCGACACUUGAUCCUACAUAAUCCCCUGGUCCUUUCCAGUCGCACCCUAAGAGUCCUCCUGAUGAUGGCGUGCAUUGCACUGAAUCAAUGAUAAACAUUUUCGAUUCACCAUGCUCAGUCAAUGUCAAAAGCAUUAACAUCAUCAAAAACCACAUUGUGAUGAAUUAAGCUCAUGCAGUUAUUAGAUCCAAACGCAAACUUACA
This is a long non-coding RNA of Saccostrea echinata, 1562 nucleotides long. RefSeq lists it as uncharacterized. Lineage: Eukaryota; Metazoa; Mollusca; Bivalvia; Ostreida; Ostreidae. The transcript is spliced from 3 exons. The record is from RefSeq and is a predicted model, not a curated record.